Molecule: long non-coding RNA, 556 nt
Organism: Saccostrea echinata
Lineage: Eukaryota; Metazoa; Mollusca; Bivalvia; Ostreida; Ostreidae
Exons: 3
Source: RefSeq, a predicted model, not a curated record
CUCGUCAUAUGUCGCGUGAUGUAUGUGUACAGUGCAGCUUGAAAAAGAAGAAACGUGUGUAUUUCGUUAAGUUAUAGAAAAACCUUGCAGAAGGAAGAUAAGAAGAUAGAUUGUGUGUCCCACAGGGACCUAUCGGUAAGAGAAGAAAGUAAUUCCUGCUUGAACAACUGACCUUCAUUUUUUACAGCAUGGCUUCUCUGUCUGCUGGCAUUAUAGCAGGAAUAGUGAUUGGUUCUAUCUUCGGAGUUCUUCUGAUAGGUUGCUGCUUUUCGAUGAUAUGCCGCCAUUGUCGCCAUAGAUUUUCGGGACACUUCGGAACUUAUCCACCGAUUAUCGGAGAACACCAUGGUGGCCAUUACGGGGGACAUCACGGAGGUCACCACGGGGGUCAUCAUGGCGGCCAUCAUUGAUCAACAUCAUUACAUUGUUUUGUUGUUUUAUUUGAACCAGAGACAUUACAUCUCAUAGGUAUACAAAAUAUGUACAUAAAUAUUUAUACAUAAGCUUUGCACAGGAUAAGUGUAGUAUAUGCUAUACAAUAUACAUUACAUGUGGC